UACGGGGGGGGCUAGCGUUAUUCGGAAUUAUUGGGCGUAAAGGGCGCGUAGGCGGCGCGGUAAGUCAAAGGUGAAAUCCUUCGGCUCAACUGAGGAACUGCCUUUGAAACUGCCGUGCUUGAGUCCGGGAGGGGGUAGCGGAAUUCCCAGUGUAGCGGUGAAAUGCGUAGAUAUUGGGAGGAACACCAGUGGCGAAGGCGGCUACCUGGACCGGUACUGACGCUGAGGCGCGAAAGCGUGGGGAGCAAACAGG
Molecule: ribosomal RNA, 253 nt
Filed under: uncultured bacterium
Lineage: Bacteria
Description: partial 16S ribosomal RNA
Rfam family: Bacterial small subunit ribosomal RNA
Source: RNAcentral